Molecule: ribosomal RNA, 245 nt
Filed under: uncultured bacterium
Lineage: Bacteria
Description: partial small subunit ribosomal RNA
Rfam family: Bacterial small subunit ribosomal RNA
Source: RNAcentral
AGAAUCAACGCUGGCGGCGUGCCUAACACAUGCAAGUCGAACGAGAAAGUGGAGCAAUCCAUGAGUAAAGUGGCGCACGGGUGAGUAACACGUGACUAACCUACCCUUGAGUGGGGAAUAACUUCGGGAAACCGAGGCUAAUACCGCAUAACACCUACGGGUCAAAGGAGCAAUUCGCUUUAGGAGGGGGUCGCGGCAGAUUAGCUAGUUGGCGGGGUAAUGGCCCACCAAGACGGUGAUCUGUA